AACGAACGCUGGCGGCAUGCCUAACACAUGCAAGUCGAACGAAACGUUCGGGCCUUUGGGCGCACGGCUGCGUAAGGCGGGGGAAGCUUCCCUUGUGUACGGAAUAACUCCCCGAAAGGGAUGCUAAUACCAGAUAAGGUCUUCGGACCAAGGAUUUAUGGCCUCUGGAUGGGCCCUCGUUGGAUUAGGUGGUUGGUAGGGUAAAAGCCUAGCAGGGCCACGAUGCAUAGCUGGUAUGAGAGGAUGAUCAGCCACGCUGGGGCUAAGACCCGGCCCAGACUCCUACGGAAGGGAGGAGAGGGGAAUAUAGGACAAUGGAGGAAGGGCUGAUGAAGCCAUGCCGGGUGAGAGAUGAAGGCCGUAGGGAUGUAAAGCUCCUUUACCCGGGAUGAUAAUGACGGUACCGGGUGAAUAAGCUCCGGCUAACUACGUG
This 433-nucleotide ribosomal RNA is filed under the name uncultured bacterium. RNAcentral describes it as "partial 16S ribosomal RNA". It matches the Rfam family "Bacterial small subunit ribosomal RNA", at positions 29 to 507 of the family's 1533-position model. The record is from RNAcentral.